GAUGAACGCUAGCGGCAGGCUUAAUACAUGCAAGUCGUACGGGAUCCGAGGUAGCAAUAUCUUGGUGAGAGUGGCGCACGGGUGCGUAACACGUAUGCAACCUACCUUUAACCGGGACACAACCUCGAGAAAUUGAGGCUAAUAUCCCAUAACACUGCGAGAUGGCAUCAUUUUGCAGUUAAAACUCCGGUGGUUAUUGAUGGGCAUGCGCGACAUUAGCUAGUUGGUGAGGUAACGGCCCACCAAGGCUACGAUGUCUAGGGGUUCUGAGAGGAUUAUCCCCCACACUGGUACUGAGACACGGACCAGACUCCUACGGGAGGCAGCAGUAAGGAAUAUUGGUCAAUGGGCGCAAGCCUGAACCAGCCAUGCCGCGUGAAGGAUGACGGCCCUAUGGGUUGUAAACUUCUUUUGUACGGGAAAAAACCACCGGUCGUGUAUCGGUGCUGAUGGUACCGUAAGAAUAAGCAUCGGCUAACUCCGUGCCAGCAGCCGCGGUAAUACGGAGGAUGCAAGCGUUAUCCGGAUUCAUUGGGUUUAAAGGGUGCGCAGGCGGAGUGAUAAGUCAGUGGUGAAAGCCUACAGCUUAACUGUAGAACUGCCAUUGAUACUGUCAUUCUUGAGUAUUGUUGAGGUAGGCGGAAUGUGUCAUGUAGCGGUGAAAUGCUUAGAUAUGACACAGAACACCGAUCGCGAAGGCAGCUUACCAAGCAAUAACUGACGCUCAUGCACGAAAGCGUGGGGAUCAAACAGGAUUAGAUACCCUGGUAGUCCACGCCGUAAACGAUGAUCACUCGAUGUUGGCGAUACACAGUCAGCGUCUUAGGG
This 828-nucleotide ribosomal RNA is filed under the name uncultured bacterium. RNAcentral's name for it is "bacterial SSU rRNA". It matches the Rfam family "Bacterial small subunit ribosomal RNA", at positions 28 to 853 of the family's 1533-position model. The record is from RNAcentral.